CCUGUCAGCAGCUGCUGGUGAUGUCAUGUGGAACAGCAGCACCUCCCUCCCUCACUAUUUACAAGUCUUCACUGCAGACUUCAGCCCUGGCUGCACAAACACUGUGUGUGUCUGUGCAUGUGUGCAUGUGUGUGUGUGUGUUCCCUCCAUGUUUUCAGCUGCCACCUCAGGAUCAACCUCAUCAACACGUUGUUCAGAGAACUACAGCUACACUGGACCUCCAACCCUUCCUCUUUUUCUAAACCCACACAUUAAAGUGUCUGCUGACUAAACAUGAUUCAAAGCCGCUCAGACAAGCUUUAUCAUUAAAAGCGCCUGAGAAACACAUUUUUUUUCUUCCCAGCCGGGACAGGCCCCUGAUGCUAUCAGUCAUGUGAGACAAGCUUUAUUGAACAAGUGUGUUGAUCGCUGCCGGGCACCAUGAACAGACACCUGGAGAGCAGAGAGCAGUUAAAGAGAUUGUCUCUUGACAGCGGCC
This is a non-coding RNA of Paralichthys olivaceus (Japanese flounder), 478 nucleotides long. Lineage: Eukaryota; Metazoa; Chordata; Actinopteri; Pleuronectiformes; Paralichthyidae. The record is from RefSeq and is a predicted model, not a curated record.